AUUGAACGCUGGCGGCAGGCUUAACACAUGCAAGUCGAGCGGGCCUUUCGGGGUCAGCGGCAGACGGGUGAGUAACGCGUGGGAACGUACCUUCUGGUCUGGAAUAACCCUGGGAAACUAGGGCUAAUACCGGAUACGCCCUUUUGGGGAAAGGUUUACUGCCGGAAGAUCGGCCCGCGUCUGAUUAGCUAGUUGGUGGGGUAACGGCCUACCAAGGCGACGAUCAGUAGCUGGUCUGAGAGGAUGAUCAGCCACACUGGGACUGAGACACGGCCCAGACUCCUACGGGAGGCAGCAGUGGGGAAUAUUGGACAAUGGGCGCAAGCCUGAUCCAGCCAUGCCGCGUGAGUGAUGAAGGCCUUAGGGUUGUAAAGCUCUUUUAUCCGGGACGAUAAUGACGGUACCGGAGGAAUAAGCCCCGGCUAACUUCGUGCCAGCCGCCGCCGUAA
Molecule: ribosomal RNA, 449 nt
Filed under: uncultured bacterium
Lineage: Bacteria
Description: partial 16S ribosomal RNA
Rfam family: Bacterial small subunit ribosomal RNA
Source: RNAcentral